RNAcentral lists this long non-coding RNA (208 nucleotides) under Elaeis guineensis (African oil palm). Its description in RNAcentral is "long non-coding RNA (EGUI_LNC079577)". Lineage: Eukaryota; Viridiplantae; Streptophyta; Magnoliopsida; Arecales; Arecaceae. The record is from RNAcentral.
ACACCCAAUGGGUUUAACCCCUUCAGGUGGAUCAACCAAUGUCCAAACAUCAUUGACCUUCAUAGACUCUAUUUCGGAUUUCAUGGCUUCAAGCCAUUUCUCGAAAUCAUAUCUCUACAUUGCAUCCAUAUAAGUGAUCAGAUCCUCAUCAUUCUCAUCGAGUUCGAUGGGAUCACCGUCCCAGACCAAGAAACUGUAGUAUCUAUCC